AGUCUUCUUUGUAGUACAAACAGUCAUGCUGCCCUCAAUCAGGUCCAGGGUUGCAUUAACGUGAUGUUCAUUCAAAGCCUUCUGCACCAAAGGCCAACACUCUUUCAGGUAGGCCUCUCUAUAUUUAGGGAACAAAGUUGCAAAACUGCUCUCCUCCAAGAGUCCUCUGGGAUUGUCCUCUUUAGAAAAAGCUGGUUCCUUCCAACCAUCAGGAACAGUGAGGGGUUCUGAUUCAUCUUGGUUCUCUGGCUUCGGUUUCUGGCUGCGAAAUUCAUUUCCUCAGGUGCUGCAGUUGUCCCGUUCUUCGAGGAGGACGCCAUUUUCAAACUGCUUCCCUUGGGUUAGUAAUUAUGCCUCCGUGUUCAUCCGGCUGAAAAAGAGCUUGGACCAUCCAGGGGCCUAAUGUCUCCUAUGAGCUGAGGAGCUUAGUUGUUGGAUGAUGAAAGAGGUAGUUGAAUCUGGAAUGUGUGAUGCUGGGAUUAAUGGCGUGUGAUUACUAAACCACUACAUCAACAAGAGAAAAGUAACUAACACAGAGGGCCCUCUCUCAAAAAACCAAAACAGAAAAAACAAG
RNAcentral lists this long non-coding RNA (574 nucleotides) under Heterocephalus glaber (naked mole-rat). RNAcentral describes it as "lncRNA (ENSHGLG00000036339.1)". Lineage: Eukaryota; Metazoa; Chordata; Mammalia; Rodentia; Bathyergidae. The record is from RNAcentral.